GCGGACGGGUGAGUAACACGUGGGAACGUGCCUUUAGGUUCGGAAUAGCUCCUGGAAACGGGUGGUAAUGCCGAAUGUGCCCUUCGGGGGAAAGAUUUAUCGCCUUUAGAGCGGCCCGCGUCUGAUUAGCUAGUUGGUGAGGUAAUGGCUCACCAAGGCGACGAUCAGUAGCUGGUCUGAGAGGAUGACCAGCCACAUUGGGACUGAGACACGGCCCAAACUCCUACGGGAGGCAGCAGUGGGGAAUCUUGCGCAAUGGGCGAAAGCCUGACGCAGCCAUGCCGCGUGAAUGAUGAAGGUCUUAGGAUUGUAAAAUUCUUUCACCGGGGACGAUAAUGACGGUACCCGGAGAAGAAGCCCCGGCUAACUUCGUGCCAGCAGCCGCGGUAAUACGAAGGGGGCUAGCGUUGCUCGGAAUUACUGGGCGUAAAGGGCGCGUAGGCGGACAUUUAAGUCAGGGGUGAAAUCCCAGAGCUCAACUCUGGAACUGCCUUUGAUACUGGGUGUCUUGAGUGUGAGAGAGGUAUGUGGAACUCCGAGUGUAGAGGUGAAAUUCGUAGAUAUUCGGAAGAACACCAGUGGCGAAGGCGACAUACUGG
This 599-nucleotide ribosomal RNA is filed under the name Brevundimonas bullata. Its description in RNAcentral is "bacterial SSU rRNA". It matches the Rfam family "Bacterial small subunit ribosomal RNA", at positions 98 to 732 of the family's 1533-position model. The record is from RNAcentral. Lineage: Bacteria; Pseudomonadati; Pseudomonadota; Alphaproteobacteria; Caulobacterales; Caulobacteraceae.